RNAcentral lists this ribosomal RNA (164 nucleotides) under Campeiostachys dahurica var. tangutorum. Its description in RNAcentral is "Elymus tangutorum 5.8S ribosomal RNA". It matches the Rfam family "5.8S ribosomal RNA". Rfam says of the family: 5.8S ribosomal RNA (5.8S rRNA) is a component of the large subunit of the eukaryotic ribosome. It is transcribed by RNA polymerase I as part of the 45S precursor that also contains 18S and 28S rRNA. Functionally, it is thought that 5.8S rRNA may be involved in ribosome translocation. Lineage: Eukaryota; Viridiplantae; Streptophyta; Magnoliopsida; Poales; Poaceae. The record is from RNAcentral.
CACACGACUCUCGGCAACGGAUAUCUCGGCUCUCGCAUCGAUGAAGAACGUAGCGAAAUGCGAUACCUGGUGUGAAUUGCAGAAUCCCGCGAACCAUCGAGUCUUUGAACGCAAGUUGUGCCCGAGGCCACUUGGCCGAGGGCACGCCUCCCUGGGCGUCACGC